RNAcentral lists this ribosomal RNA (497 nucleotides) under uncultured bacterium. RNAcentral describes it as "partial 16S ribosomal RNA". It matches the Rfam family "Bacterial small subunit ribosomal RNA", at positions 28 to 507 of the family's 1533-position model. The record is from RNAcentral.
GAUGAACGCUGGCGGCGUGCCUAAUACAUGCAAGUCGAGCGAACUGAUGAGGAGCUUGCUCCUCUGACGUUAGCGGCGGACGGGUGAGUAACACGUGGAUAACCUACCUAUAAGACUGGGAUAACUUCGGGAAACCGGAGCUAAUACCGGAUAAUAUAUUGAACCGCAUGGUUCAAUAGUGAAAGACGGUUUUGCUGUCACUUAUAGAUGGAUCCGCGCCGCAUUAGCUAGUUGGUAAGGUAACGGCUUACCAAGGCAACGAUGCGUAGCCGACCUGAGAGGGUGAUCGGCCACACUGGAACUGAGACACGGUCCAGACUCCUACGGGAGGCAGCAGUAGGGAAUCUUCCGCAAAGGGCGAAAGCCUGACGGAGCAACGCCGCGUGAGUGAUGAAGGUCUUCGGAUCGUAAAACUCUGUUAUUAGGGAAGAACAAAUGUGUAAGUAACUAUGCACGUCUUGACGGUACCUAAUCAGAAAGCCACGGCUAACUACGUG